This 253-nucleotide ribosomal RNA is filed under the name uncultured bacterium. RNAcentral's name for it is "partial 16S ribosomal RNA". It matches the Rfam family "Bacterial small subunit ribosomal RNA", at positions 524 to 776 of the family's 1533-position model. The record is from RNAcentral.
CACGUAGGGCGCAAGCGUUGUCCGGAAUUAUUGGGCGUAAAGAGCUCGUAGGCGGUCUGUUGCGUCCGCUGUGAAAACUCGGGGCUUAACCCCGAGCCUGCAGUGGAUACGGGCAGACUAGAGGUAGGUAGGGGAGAAUGGAAUUCCCGGUGUAGCGGUGAAAUGCGCAGAUAUCAGGAGGAACACCAAUUGCGAAGGCAGCUCGCUGGGACGUUACUGACGCUGAGACGCGAAAGCGUGGGGAGCAAACAGG